Oesophagostomum dentatum (nodular worm) is the source of this 47-nucleotide non-coding RNA. NCBI's taxonomy places the organism in Eukaryota, Metazoa, Nematoda, Chromadorea, Rhabditida, Strongylidae. The record is from Rfam.
CCAACGGCCCUCUUUAGGGCCACAUUUCAUCGUAUCGAUUACCUUGU